Molecule: ribosomal RNA, 433 nt
Filed under: uncultured bacterium
Lineage: Bacteria
Description: partial 16S ribosomal RNA
Rfam family: Bacterial small subunit ribosomal RNA
Source: RNAcentral
AACGAACGCAGGCGGCAUGUCUAACACAUGCACGUCGACCGAGCCAUUCGGGUCUAGUGGCGCACGGGUGCGUUACGAGAGGGAACAUGCCCUCAGGUUCGGAAUAACUCCCCGAAAGGGGUGCUAAUACCGGUUAAUGUCUUCGGACCAAAGAUCUAUCGCCCUUAGAUGGGCCCGCGUUCGCUUAGCUCGUUGGUAGGGUAAAAGCCUACCAAGGCGACGACCCAUAGCUGGUCUGCGAGGAUGAUCAGCCACACGGGGACUGUGACACGGCCCUGACUCCUACGGGAUGCAGCAGUGGGGAAUAUUGGACAAUGGGCGAAAGCCUGAUCCAGCAAGGUCGCGUGAGUGUUGAAGGCCUUAGGGUUGUAAAGCUCUUUUACCCGGGAUGAUAAUGACAGUACCGGGAGAAGAAGCACCGGCUAACUCCGUG